ACGGGGUGCAGCAGGCGCGAAAACUUUGCAAUGUGCGAAAGCACGACAAGGUUAAUCCGAGUGGUUUCUGCUAAAGAAACCUUUUGUCAGUCCUAGAAACACUAACGAAUAAGGGGUGGGCAAGUUCUGGUGUCAGCCGCCGCGGUAAAACCAGCACCUCAAGUGGUCAGGAUGAUUAUUGGGCCUAAAGCAUCCGUAGCUCGUUUUGUAAGUUUUCGGUUAAAUCCAUGCGCUUAACGUAUGGGCUGCCGGGAAUACUGCAUAACUAGGAAGUGGGAGAGGUAGACGGUACUCGGUAGGAAGGGGUAAAAUCCUUUGAUCUAUUGAUGACCACCUGUGGCGAAGGCGGUCUACCAGAACACGUUCGACGGUGAGGGAUGAAAGCUGGGGGAGCAAACCGGAUUAGAUACCCGGGUAGUCCCAGCUGUAAACUAUGCAAACUCAGUGAUGCAUUGGCUUGUGGCCAAUGCAGUGCUGCAGGGAAGCCGUUAAGUUUGCCGCCUGGGAAGUACGUACGCAAGUAUGAAACUUAAAGGAAUUGGCGGGGGAGCAC
This 553-nucleotide ribosomal RNA is filed under the name uncultured archaeon. RNAcentral describes it as "bacterial SSU rRNA". It matches the Rfam family "Archaeal small subunit ribosomal RNA", at positions 325 to 879 of the family's 1478-position model. The record is from RNAcentral.